Molecule: ribosomal RNA, 1470 nt
Filed under: metagenome
Description: bacterial SSU rRNA
Rfam family: Bacterial small subunit ribosomal RNA
Source: RNAcentral
AGAGUUUGAUCAUGGCUCAGGACGAACGCUGGCGGCACGCUUAACACAUGCAAGUCGAACGAGAGAAGAGGAGCUUGCUUUUCUGAUCUAGUGGCGGACGGGUGAGUAACACGUGAGCAAUCUGCCUUUCAGAGGGGGAUACCGAUUGGAAACGAUCGUUAAUACCGCAUAACAUAAUUGAACCGCAUGAUUUGAUUAUCAAAGAUUUAUCGCUGAAAGAUGAGCUCGCGUCUGAUUAGCUAGUUGGUAAGGUAACGGCUUACCAAGGCGACGAUCAGUAGCCGGACUGAGAGGUUGAUCGGCCACAUUGGGACUGAGACACGGCCCAGACUCCUACGGGAGGCAGCAGUGGGGAAUAUUGCACAAUGGAGGAAACUCUGAUGCAGCGAUGCCGCGUGAGGGAAGAAGGUUUUAGGAUUGUAAACCUCUGUCUUCAGGGACGAAAAAAGACGGUACUUGAGGAGGAAGCUCCGGCUAACUACGUGCCAGCAGCCGCGGUAAUACGUAGGGAGCGAGCGUUGUCCGGAAUUACUGGGUGUAAAGGGAGCGUAGGCGGGAUCGCAAGUCAGAUGUGAAAACUAUGGGCUUAACCCAUAAACUGCAUUUGAAACUGUGGUUCUUGAGUGAAGUAGAGGUAAGCGGAAUUCCUAGUGUAGCGGUGAAAUGCGUAGAUAUUAGGAGGAACAUCAGUGGCGAAGGCGGCUUACUGGGCUUUAACUGACGCUGAGGCUCGAAAGCGUGGGGAGCAAACAGGAUUAGAUACCCUGGUAGUCCACGCCGUAAACGAUGAUUACUAGGUGUGGGGGGACUGACCCCUUCCGUGCCGCAGCAAACGCAAUAAGUAAUCCACCUGGGGAGUACGACCGCAAGGUUGAAACUCAAAGGAAUUGACGGGGGCCCGCACAAGCAGUGGAGUAUGUGGAUUAAUUCGAAGCAACGCGAAGAACCUUACCAGGUCUUGACAUCGUAUGCAUAGCUCAGAGAUGAGUGAAAUCUCUUCGGAGACAUAUAGACAGGUGGUGCAUGGUUGUCGUCAGCUCGUGUCGUGAGAUGUUGGGUUAAGUCCCGCAACGAGCGCAACCCUUACUGUUAGUUGCUACGCAAGAGCACUCUAGCAGGACUGCCGUUGACAAAACGGAGGAAGGUGGGGAUGACGUCAAAUCAUCAUGCCCCUUAUGACCUGGGCCUCACACGUACUACAAUGGCUGUCAACAGAGGGAAGCAAAGCCGCGAGGUGGAGCGAACCCCUAAAAGCAGUCUUAGUUCGGAUUGUAGGCUGCAACCCGCCUACAUGAAGUCGGAAUUGCUAGUAAUCGCAGAUCAGCAUGCUGCGGUGAAUACGUUCCCGGGCCUUGUACACACCGCCCGUCACGCCAUGGGAGUCGGUAACACCCGAAGCCUGUAGUCUAACCGCAAGGAGGACGCAGUCGAAGGUGGGAUUGAUGACUGGGGUGAAGUCGUAACAAGGUA